AUGGAAGGUGCUGGCUUUGUGCUAAUUAGAACUUCCUUUCAGCUUCCAUCUGCACAGACACUGGAGCCCCUCACUGGUCAGCCUCACUGUUCCAACCCCCCUCAGUUUGCAACCUAGUUUUUGUCCCCCCUGCCCCGCCCUCCAUGAAUUAGGGGGUACUAUGAGUGGAGCUGCUUUCCUCUAUCUCUGGUCAAAUCCUGGCUCUUUGUGUAUUGCAGAACUGCACUGGGUGGUAUUUCUCAGGCCUUCUCUCUCUUAUUGGGGUGAAGAUGGAGUUGGAAGAUGGAGUUGGAAAGGGAUUUGGGCACCAUGGGCACCCUCCUGGGUAGGCUGGACUUACAUCAUUGACCUGAAUUUGUUUUAUGAAAGACCUCUCUCCUCUGCCCUCUGGAGACUGUGGCUUCAGACCCUUGUCCUUUCCAUUACCCCUAGUCCUGAUGUCUCCCAAGUCUGAUGGUACCCACCCAUCUCAACUACAGCUGCCAUCUUUGCCGUCUCAGGCAGCCUACAGGUAGGGGCUGUGUCCUUGGCCCUCUUCUGAAAAACAAACAAACAAACAAACAAAAACCUAUUUUUUUUUCCUUUACUUUUGCUUUUUAUUCCUUUCACUUCAGGCCCAAUGGAUAUAAUUUUUUCUUUAAUGGAAGUUGUCUCUUACAGAGGUUUCAUUGAAAAAGAAGAAACAACGUCACAUUAACGUCAUUUAAAGAAAAAGCACCUCUCAGAAUGGAGGUUGGGAAAGCUAGGGUUUCCUGCCUGAAUAUCAGUUCCUCUAUUGAAACGAAGGGAUGAAAUCCCUUGUAAGGAACUCAAGAGAGGAGCGUUCCCUCAAAAUGCUUUCUUUAGCUCCUGAGUCUCCUUAGGUCUACACUGGGGUUGUGUGUAAAAAUACCAAGCCCUCCCUGACAAUGCAUCUCCUUCUCUUCUGCUUGAAUUAUCCUGAUAAUGAGAGUUCACCCACUUCUUUGACAGUGUAGACUAGGAUUUUAAAAAUUGGGAGUGAAUUGUUGGACAGUGUGACACUUCACCAGAUUCCCUCAAGGUUCUGGACCUACGCUAAAGAGGGGUGGAAAUGCUUCUGGGGUGUCCAGAAGGGCUGCAGAAAUUCCCCAUCACUGGUCAUGGGGAGAGCAGGAGGACUGGCUUCCCUCUGUGGCCUAUUCUGCCUCUGAAGGUGACAAUUCCUGAUUUGAGGCACUAGGGUGGAAGAUCCAGGACUAUCCAGGACCAGGUUAAUAAAUUGGCAGUCCAGAUUCCAGAAGGGCAGCAGCUGGGGACUGGAGACAUGCCCAUGCCUGUGGGACAGAGUUCUUUUGCAUGCUUUGGACUUUACAACUCUGUAUCCUUGACAAGUCACAGGCAUCUCUGGGUGAAAUGGGGACAAUAGUACCCAUACCUCCAAGGGUUAUGUGAGAAUUAAGUAAAAUAUACAAAUAAAGUGCCUGGCAUACAAUGGGCACUGAGCAAAUGGUAGCUCUUUUUUCCAGGCUGGGGCAAGGGAUGCAUAUAAAUGUCUGGAUCCGAAGUUUGAAAUUCCACCUGCUGGAGACAGUGAACACCCCAAUAGAUACCCCAAAUCGUAUUGAAGGACGGAUGACGGGAUGCCUUCCUCCCCCAGGGCAUGCCAUACACACUGGGUCUGAAGUGGGAGAAUCGGCACCCCAAAAAACGGCUUGUGGAGCGGGAUUGCACAUGGGUGUAAAGUUCCCAGCUUGGCUGCCUGGGGAGGGGGACACAUAAAUGUCUUUAGAGAUUUGAAGGGAGCAGGAUCUGGACUCACUUGCGUUGCCAAGACGGCUGGGGCUGGGAGCCAAGGGGGUGCUGCCGGGAGGCCCGCGUUAGCUUGGGGUAUGACAUUUCUAACAGUUGGCGCCUGCGGAAAAUGGCCUGGGGUUCCAGCUCUGGAAGGUUCCGAAUCUCAGGAUUCACGAGUGGCGCUGUCCGGAGCAGCCAGGGUUGUCCCGAGGUGGUCUCUGGCAGGCUUUCCACGAUGUGCUGUCUGGGUCGCAGGUGAGAACCUCAUGGUUCUCCAUUUCCGGAACUCCAGCUCUGAGCAGGCAGAGGGGCGCUGCCCUCGCCUGCCCCUGCGGUAGCCAAGCAGGUGGCUGGAAGCAUGGCUAGCUGGCGGGUAAGGAGCUCCGGGUGAGACGGAACAGCCGGAGACCCCCAAUCCCCUUAGCCGGUGCCCCACCCGAUUUCUCUCCUGCGUCCCGGGAGGGCAUGGUUGAGGCGCCACCAGUGACCAGCAACCUCCCCAGGCUGUGGUUGUGACCUGAGGACGCGUGUGUCUCCGCCCCCAGGCCAACGCUAGGCGACCCUGAGUGCACCUUCAAGAAGGCCUGGUAUGUUUCUGGGCGGUCGUGGGGGGUGCCUGAUAUCUCGGCUCUGUUUUACAGUUACUCCCCUGCUGGUGCCUCCCUCCUUGGCGCGGUUUCUGCCUGCGAUCAGCGCCCUCUUCGCAGUCACGAACUCGCCAGCAGCUAGCAGCACUUACUAGUAGGAGGGCCCACCGGAGGAGAGGAAACCCCAGAGAGAUUGGUGAUGGUGAUUUCCCAGGAAGACGUGGUGUGCUCCAACUUCUGUGACAGUGAGCAACGGGACCAAUGGAUGUCCGGAUGCUGGCAAUGAGUAGGCCUUCCCUACGCUGGGUGGCGUCCACACCCUUUGGCUUCCAUUGCCUGGGUCUCCUGGAGGACAUGCUCUGGAGUCAGAAGACAGCAAAAAGAGAAGCAGAAGUCCCGGUGGCAAGAGUCCAAAGGAAGGAAUCACUGUAACCUGUGGAUUGUACUGCAGUAGGAAACUAUCCUAGCAAGGCUCCACUUUGCCCCAGCUUCAAGCUGGAAAGGAGGAGAACAUGAAACGUUGCUUGAAGACAAUGGCCGAGACAGCAGGUCCCACCCUGCACAGCCGCCAACAUCUCUUCCCUCAGCCUUGUCUCUUCUUCUGCAGUUGGGAUCUGCACAUUUAAGCCUGAAAUUGUCCUGUGAAGUGAAGUAUGAUCGGACAGCCUCUUUUCAGCUUUUAUGAAAAUGGAGACAGAGGAAUUGUGGCUCUUGCCAAGGUCACAGGAUUGGAACACAGAGCCAAGCCACCCCAGGACAUGCAAGAGCCUCAGAAGGGAAAAAGCCCAGCAGGAAGGGAGAACAAGUAGCCUCUGUUCUGAGGUUGUAACAGCCAGGGACCAGGAUGGAGGAGGAGGACUCCGUAAUCCUGCCCAUCUGGGACUUGGCAGGGGACCUGGGAAAAUGUACCCCAAUCCAUCCCUCAAGGGCCUUUGCCUUUGGCCCAUUGGCCUAGCAUCUCCUUCUUCACUAUGUCUGUUCUUGUCAGAUCUGUUUGGGUCUGAGGUGCAUGGAACAUUCUGGGUAGGCCUCCAGCAAACGGAAGCUCUUCACCGUGUUUCCAGCCUAGGACCAAGAGCAGCACACUGGCAAAGUUGCCAAAGCAAGGGACUCCAGCCUGCUAGGAGUUAACGACUCCCUCUCCCCAGCUGUCCUCCCCUUGGUGCUCCUCUUCCUCCCUCCUCCUGCUCACAGCAGGCAGGGCCUGGACCCGGGAGCCAUGCUGCUGUGCUGUUGCCAGGGGAGUCCGGAGGCAGAUCUGAGCUAUGCAGGGAAAAGGCCCGGCCUGUCAAAGUGUCUGAGAUGAACCGCCGCCGUCCCUGUGCAGCUGGGCUCAGACGUGUCUCAGCUCUUGUUCUGUGCCUGAGAAUGGCGAAACCCAGUGAGGUUCAAGGGCAAACUCGCUAUUCAUUAGUCAGGGGUUCUUGACGUCCCGUCUCUCCCAGGGAUGGGUUCCCCCCCUUCCUCUUUCUCCCCCUCCUAUGACACAUUCCUGGGUGCCUUUGGUGAGGACUGCACACCCUCCUCCUGCCUAGCCCCCUUUCCAAGGGCCUCUGAAUAAACUCCCCCCAAGGAGACCAGGCAGGGUAGAGACAAUGGCUGCAGGAAAUCAUUCAGGCGGGACAUGCUGGCCUGCCCUCCACCCAGUCCCCCUGUGGGCCCCACUCCCUUCUGAUUCAGGGCACCCUUGGGCCCCUAGCCUAUACAGGCCUGGAUAGGAAGAAGCCACUAGGAACAACCCUGAGGACAUCAUGUUAGUCCAGUGCCAUUCUCCGCUGGCUCUGUGGGUGCCUUUGUGGCCUGCACCAACUGGCAGGCUAAUUUUGUGGUUUCUGUACCAUCACAUGCCUAUUUCAAGACACUCUCAAGCACUGUCAGUUGGGGAGUGUAAAUUCUACAAUAUUUUCUGAAAUGUGGCAAUAUCAAAAUGUAAAAGGCAAAUAUACUUGGUCACAAAAAUGGCACUGUUUACUCUGUGGGCAUAUUUGUAAAAGUUCCCAAAGAAUUACAUACAAGGAUGUUCAUCAGAGCAUUUCUUUUGAAGAGUGUAAAGAAAUGGACAUGAACCUAUGGUCUGUUCAUACUGUGGAAUACCUAUGCAGCUGUAAAAAUCAGUGUGGUAGAUCUCCGUAUAUGAGUUGAUGUGGAAGGUUGGCCAGUUCACAUGAUAAGGUGAAUAGAAUAAGUUACAGAACAGGCUGUGGAGUAUGAUCUUAUUUGUAGAUGUUUAAAAGUGAGUCAUAAGUAUGCUUAUAUACGGAAGUAUGUACUGGAAGGCUACCUCUAGGGAGUGGGCAUGGGGGAAUGCACUCUUCUAUACUGUUCUGUUUUCUUUUCGUGCUCCUAAGAUACUUUUAUUGAAAGAUGUAAAGGGUUGUUCAGUAUAAUAGGCUUAACUUCUAUCAACUAACUUGGCGUGGGUGCUUUAAGAGGGUGGUAGUGAUGUUACUGGAGAAAGUAUCCCACAAUUACUGGUGGCUUCAGCCAUGGGCCAUUUUGGGGCCUAAUAAUCACAUAUCAUCAUGGUUGCUAGUGUUAAUCGAAAACCUACUAAGUGCCAGGCUUACUGUCUCUGGGUCUUGCUUACGUGGGUAUCAUUAUUCCAGUUUCACCAAAUCAAAAGAAGUUAAUUGGUUUGUUGCAGCUCCUCUGCAGGUGAGGGGCAGAGCCAGGAGCUUGGCUAGGGACAGGGGAGGUGGGUGGGGGAUGGUGGCUAGAUCUUGGCUCUCAGUUUCUUUCCAUGCAGACAUUGCCCCUCUGCCCUGAGGACCUGCUUGUUUGGGGGAGGAGGCCUUUGGAGGCACCGGGGUCAUGCCAGGUGUUGGACAUGGUGAACUGGGAAGUGUUCCCAUUUGGCCAUAGCCCAAAAGUAUCACCGUGCUGGGGGGUGGGGAACAGGGCUGUGAAUGGGCCUAUUUGCAUAAGCAGCAUGUGUGGAGAGAAAGACAUCGCAGAGCAGAAGAGGUGUGGGUGCCCAGUAGGGCAAUUGCCACCCCUACUUCAUCCCUGAAAGAGUAAAUGGCCUGGAAAGUGUCUCCAAGAGGUAAUGCUGCACACUACCCUCCCUGGUGGCACUGGGUCAGGUUACACCUGCCUUAGGUCGGUGGCUGCAGCAGCCUGCAGAGCUCUCAGUAGUGCCUCAGUAGCCUGGGAGGGAGUAGGGGCAGGGGGCAGGAAGAGGCAUAAUGGGGCUGUCCAGAGGGGUCUGGGAAACCUGGUCCCUGAGGCCUGGGCACAGCUACAGUCACUUCAGAUUGGCUGUGGGGCCAGUGGACUGGGAAGGAAAAAAGCAUUAAGAGUGACCAAGUGCAGAAGGCUGUCAGGUCCCAGGUCACAUGCCUUAGUGCAGUGACUCCUCAUCAUUUUGUGGUGUGUGGGUGUCAUUGGUACACCCAUUUUGCAGAUGAGGACACUGAGGCCCAGAAAAGUUAAGUUACAUGUCCUAAGUCACACAGCUUGUAAGUGCCAGAACUGAGAUCAAAACCAAGUCUCUUUGACUUUGAAGUCUGUACUUUGACUCCAAAGACAUCCUGUUUCGUUUGGCCACUUAUAGGAGGUCCCUAAAGCUGCAGACUCCCCUUGCCAGUGCCCACAUAUAGAGACAUUAACCCCUGCCCUGCAGGGUCACCUCAAAUAAUCUUUUAGCUGGGCUUCUCCCACAGUUCCACCUAAUGCCAUCCCCUGGGUUUUGCCCAAACCUGGACUGGGCAGCGGGGUGAGAGGAGGGGUUUACAGGGUUACAGAGCCUCAUACAGAUUGGAGCCCAUGGCUGCUGGUCAUCUGUAUCCCUGCAGGAUUGGCUGUUCCUUGGGGUCCUUGGCAGGAAGAUGAGGAUGCUCCCGAGACCUGCUCCAGUGCUUGCCAGAGGCUGGCCUGGUGGCCUCUGGAAAGACUGAGGCUGGAGAGGCAGAAGUAGGAGAGCAGCAAUGGCACUCAGGUAGCUUGAAUCACCAGGACCCUUCCAAGCCCCACAGGUCCUCCUGAGGGAGUACUAGGGCAUCCUCUGGGAGAGGUCUCUUCCUAUGCUGUGAACCCCCUGCCUUUCUUGCAACCUACAAUGAAUAAAUUUUCUUUGCAAAGC
Molecule: non-coding RNA, 6423 nt
Organism: Macaca mulatta (Rhesus monkey)
Lineage: Eukaryota; Metazoa; Chordata; Mammalia; Primates; Cercopithecidae
Source: RefSeq, a predicted model, not a curated record